Molecule: ribosomal RNA, 525 nt
Filed under: uncultured gamma proteobacterium CHAB-II-39
Lineage: Bacteria; Pseudomonadati; Pseudomonadota; Gammaproteobacteria
Description: bacterial SSU rRNA
Rfam family: Bacterial small subunit ribosomal RNA
Source: RNAcentral
UCAGAUUGAACGCUGGCGGUAGGCUUAACACAUGCAAGUCGUGCGAGAAAGUAUCUUCGGAUAUGAGUAGAGCGGCGGACGGGUGAGUAACGCGUAGGAAUCUACCUAGUAGAAGGGGAUAGCCCGGGGAAACUCGGAUUAAUACCGUAUACCUCCUUCGGGAGAAAGAAGGCCUCUCAUUGAAGCUUUCGCUACUAGAUGAGCCUGCGUAAGAUUAGCUUGUUGGUGAGGUAAAGGCUCACCAAGGCGACGAUCUUUAGCGGGUCUGAGAGGACGAUCCGCCACAUUGGGACUGAGACACGGCCCAGACUCCUACGGGAGGCAGCAGUGGGGAAUAUUGGACAAUGGGCGCAAGCCUGAUCCAGCCAUACCGCGUGUGUGAAGAAGGCCCUAGGGUUGUAAAGCACUUUAAGUUGGGAAGAAAAGUYAUUGGUUAAUACCCAAUAGCCGUGACAUUUACCAUCAGAAUAAGGACCGGCUAAUUCCGUGCCAGCAGCCCGCGGUAAUACGGAAGGUCCAAGCGUU